Alligator sinensis (Chinese alligator) is the source of this 2971-nucleotide long non-coding RNA. RefSeq lists it as uncharacterized. The transcript has 3 exons. The record is from RefSeq and is a predicted model, not a curated record. NCBI's taxonomy places the organism in Eukaryota, Metazoa, Chordata, Crocodylia, Alligatoridae.
GCCCUAGCCAAACCAUCCCAUAUGAUCCACAAACUCUUCACAAAUUAUCCUCAAGCCUGACACAACACAAGGCAUAACACCCAAAACUACCACAGGUAAAACAAGGGACUACAGCAAUCAAUGUUGUAGGCAAGCAGGGCUGGAAGGGACCUCCAGAGGUCUAGUCCAACCCCAUGCCAGAGGCACCUAGCCUGCAAAGGUGCUUACCCCCCCAGCCAGGGCCCAGAGCUACCCCAAGCCAAGAAGGUCCCCCCUCAACACAUCAAGGAAAGGAAUACUUAGUUUCCUUCAUGCUUGCUCUUUGUUUUGGCCUGACGUGACUUUCUGGCCACUUUGGGCUGUACCCACCUUCACAGAACAUCAGUGCCGUGAAGGGACAUUUGACGAGCAAGCUAGCAACCACUAGGAGUCCCAAACCAGGCGAGAUUCAACACAAAUAUAGACGGACAGGAUGCACUGGAACCACAGCUACCUCCAGCCCUGCUGACAAGAAAGGAGCUGUUCUUAAACCCACAGGAGCUUAAAAGAAACUGCAUGCCAACUCUGUGGGCACUAUAUUCUUCCCUGCAGAAGAAGAGAAGCUUGUGCAAGGGGGCUGUUAAUAACCCAGAGGAUUACAACUACCCUUAUCUGAAGCACUGUAAAGGCAGCUUCCAAUAUUCUCUUCUUCAGGGAAACACACUCUUUAAUUGUUCCAGAGAAACAUCAUCAUCCAGAGUAGAUGCUCUCUAUGAAUAGAAAGAAGUGCCUGUUUACUCUGAAAUAUUUGGCCCAAUGAAGAGAGUCUGGGGAAUGGAAGAAGUGGCUAUUAUUUUCCCACUGCGUGUGUGCAGCUGUCAUGUGUAAGCAACACAAUCUAAGCACAUCUCUGCUUCCUAAUCUUGCUGAUUAUCCCUUCUAAGAUGACAAAAAACAUGGCUUGCCACCAGAAUCUGUAAUUCCUGAACAUCUUGCUCCUUAUUACACAGCCAGAGAUAACUUCUGUUUUUAUUUAUUUUAGCAGAAAGGAUGGCUUCCCAAGGAGGCAUCAUUUGUCUAUGCAGUGAUGUCAUCUUGUUUGACCUCUGCUUUAAUCCAGGGAAUGCCUGCAUGUUGACUUCUGACCUGUUUAAGUAUGCUUGUGUUUAAAAGGACAGAUAGACUUAAUACAUCUUGUUGGGCAAACUGAAGUGUUGAUGGUGGUUAUUUUUAAAGAUAUUUACAUGUAACCGCUCCUCCAUCUGACAUUUUCACACUGUGAUACACCAAUAUGUUUUUUGCUGUCUAAGUAUAUCUCAAAGGCUCUCAUUUAAAAAUCUAAAACACUAUGUUACACAGCAAAAGUUUAUUUGUAUCCUAUCUACACUAGUCUUUGCCUGAUAGCUACGGCUAUGCCAUUUCUUCUACUGAAAAUUGAAUUUUUCAGAAACUUUAUAACUUGGCCAGAAAAAAAAAAUUCCAGAGGAAUACUUAUGGUAAAUAACACAUGUUCCCAAACUUAAGAGGCCUCCCAAAUCCGUAUUUACCUGACAGACCAUGAUGGUCCCAGUGCUGAGUAAAUAAUAUGCAUACCAAACUAUGUAUAACAUGCAUACCAAAAUGCAAAUGUAACCAGGUAAACAGAAUGCCUUUUAAAAAUGACUAAAUAUGGUAGAAAAUCAGCAGAGAGAAAAAGAGAGUCUCUAAAAAUGUUUUAUAAUUUUCCAUGUAAGAAUACUUUCUUUACAGGGAAGCAGUUUUAUUAAACAAAAGCUUAAGACAUGCAUUGAUGGACAAAAAAUGUUUAAAAGUAACAAACUAUCACAAAGCCAGGAAAUCCAAAGUUAAAGGCUAAGUCUCUUCUUAAGUCUCAUCAUACUGCAAACCAAAUAUACCAAUCCUCAUCUUGUUAUUUCUCUGAGAAAACUGACUUAAGGAGGAGUUGUUCUGCCCGCAGGCCUGAUUCUGGCCUUAAAAUGCUGUAAAGUGGGAGUAAACCCCUGGAGGUCAAAGGCAUUUAAAAGGCAUAAAUGGGAUCAGCAUCAGACCUUGUGGGAUUUGGCUUUGUGUUGUCCUUACACUGUAAUAAAUGACUCAUCAAAUGUUGUGGGUGUAUGUGUGCGGGAGCUGAGGUAAAUGGAAAGCAGAGUUAGUUCUUUUAUAACACUGUCCUUCAUUCUCCUAUCCUCAUAGACUGACAGCAUCUUAGAGACAUCCUGGAGUUGAUGUAUAAAAUAGUUAAAAUGCACUGAUUUUGACUUAUAUGCAGGUGUUUAUAUAGCAAAUGCUUUUUAGACAGUAUAUUUUUUCUGAAUUAGGAAUUCACUACAUUGGCAGCACAGACCUGUUUACACAGCUAUAUACGGUAUGUGUGUGUCUACAUCGGCUUUGGUUGGUACAGUUCCUUUGGUUAAGUCUUGUAAAAUGUACAGGUGUGGAUAUGCUGCAUUCCUUCCCUUAUGUUUUUCCUUCUUUUUUUUCAUUUCUCCCAAAAAAGUCACUUGAUCAGGUAUCAGACAUACUGAAAACCUGGCAAGACUACAGGAAAGUGGCUAGACUUGGAGUGUUUGUGUACUUAAAGAAAGAAUCUUGCACAUUUUCAACUUUCAGUCGCAGAUAUUUUCUUAUAAGAGCAAUUGGAGGUUUGAACCAGCCCUCAAAGCGGAAAUCAAAAGCUCCCAGAGAAACAUACCCAAGGAAUGUGAAUCUGCUCCAAAAACCAUACGCAAUGCACACACAGUACUGUCAGCCUUAUAGGAAGUCUGGCCGUAUAUGGACAUCUGUACCCUAAGCUAUUUAUCAACCUGAUGGUCUUGUAGUUGGCUGCAGAUAUUUCUAGCUUGCCUUAGGUUUAACAACGUUCAUUAAUUCCCCUCCCCAAAAGCUCACCAGAAUGUCUUUUAAAAAUCAUAAUAAACAUUACCUUAAAAUGCUAAGAGUACUAGUUAAACUUAUAUUAAUGUGUAUUUGCUCAAAAUAAAGACUGCAAGCAAGAUCUGCUGUGUUAGCUGUG